Molecule: ribosomal RNA, 231 nt
Filed under: uncultured bacterium
Lineage: Bacteria
Description: partial 16S ribosomal RNA
Rfam family: Bacterial small subunit ribosomal RNA
Source: RNAcentral
ACGCUCGACACCUACGGAGGCAGCAGUAGGGAAUCUUCCACAAUGGGCGCAAGCCUGAUGGAGCAACACCGCGUGAGUGAAGAAGGGUUUCGGCUCGUAAAGCUCUGUUGUUGGAGAAGAACGUGCGUGAGAGUAACUGUUCACGCAGUGACGGUAUCCAACCAGAAAGUCACGGCUAACUACGUGCCUGCACGCCGGACGGUAAUCGUGACGGCGGGCGUGGACGAAGGC